This 606-nucleotide ribosomal RNA is filed under the name Triticum aestivum (bread wheat). Its description in RNAcentral is "partial small subunit ribosomal RNA". Lineage: Eukaryota; Viridiplantae; Streptophyta; Magnoliopsida; Poales; Poaceae. The record is from RNAcentral.
AUGAUAUCAGGUGGAAACAGGAGUCGUGAUCAGAUAAGCGGACAACUAAACAACUUGCCCGUUCGAUUCAACCGAACCGGAUUCAAUCACGUACGCAUCUCCAACUCUCCGUAUUAUAAAUAUAUCGAACGGUUCUGUAUCGAAGAGCACAAGUUGUGUAGCAACAAAGCGACCAUGGCGCAGACGACGGAGACGCCGUCGUCCACGCAGGACCUGACGCAGCGGCUACCCGUCGACCUGCUCUCCGACGUGCUGCGCCGCCUCCAGACGACGUCGCCGCCCAGCCUCGCUGUGUCCCGGUGCGUCUGCAAGGCGUGGCGUGACGUCGUCGACACCAGACGGCUGCUCGUGGACCUCCUGCCGCGCUCACUGAGCGGCAUAUUCGUCCAUCUCAGCGGCGACACGCGUGAACUGCUCACACAAUACUUCUCGCCCGCCAUGUCAUCCACCAGCAUCGCGGCCGCGUUCGACUACGUGGGCGCCGAGUGCUCGACGAUCAAGCAGCACUGCAACGGCCUCCUCCUGCUCGACAACGAAUGGCCACGAGGCCGAGCGCCUAUCAAGGAGAAGGUUUUUGUGGAAUGUAUACCACGGACCUGCAUUUAG